RNAcentral lists this ribosomal RNA (253 nucleotides) under uncultured bacterium. RNAcentral describes it as "partial 16S ribosomal RNA". It matches the Rfam family "Bacterial small subunit ribosomal RNA", at positions 524 to 776 of the family's 1533-position model. The record is from RNAcentral.
UACGUAGGGGGCAAGCGUUGUCCGGAUUUAUUGGGCGUAAAGAGCGUGUAGGCGGCCUUACAGGUCAGCUGUGAAAACUCGAGGCUCAACCUCGAGACGUCGGUUGAAACCGUAAGGCUAGAGUCCGGAAGAGGAGAGUGGAAUUCCCGGUGUAGCGGUGAAAUGCGCAGAUAUCAGGAAGAACACCUAUGGCGAAGGCAGCACUCUGGGACGGUACUGACGCUGAGACGCGAAAGCGUGGGGAGCGAACAGG